Molecule: long non-coding RNA, 328 nt
Organism: Myotis lucifugus (little brown bat)
Lineage: Eukaryota; Metazoa; Chordata; Mammalia; Chiroptera; Vespertilionidae
Exons: 3
Source: RefSeq, a predicted model, not a curated record
GCCAUAAAAAGGAUAAAAUAGUGCCAUUUGCAACAACAUGGAUGGAUCUUGAGAACAUGAUGGAUUUGGUGCGGUGUACCCACGAAGCAUGCCCUGCAGGUCGGGGCAUAAAUGGCGCCCAACGCUGUCUCUGCUCUCCAAUCCUCCUCAGGAACGUUCACUUUUUGUCCGGCCGGACCUCCCCUUGGCGCCACUGGGAUCGCCCUGUGAGUCAGCCUGCUUUUUUCCUGGUCGCCACUUUGCUUACCCGCUCUGCGAGUCAGACCUGUUGCUUUGGAUCGUCCGAGACAAGAUAAGAAAACUCCAGGAAGAUCUGGUGAAAAGGCGA